RNAcentral lists this ribosomal RNA (452 nucleotides) under uncultured bacterium. RNAcentral describes it as "bacterial SSU rRNA". It matches the Rfam family "Bacterial small subunit ribosomal RNA", at positions 29 to 524 of the family's 1533-position model. The record is from RNAcentral.
AACGAACGCUGGCGGCAUGCCUAACACAUGCAAGCCGAACGAGAUCCUUCGGGGUCUAGUGGCGGACGGGUGAGUAACGCGUGGGGACCUGCCCAGGGGUACGGAAUAACUACGGGAAACUGUAGCUAAUACCGUAUGAUGCCGAAAGGCCAAAGAUUUAUCGCCCUUGGAUGGACCCGCGUUGGAUUAGCUAGUUGGUGAGGUAAUGGCUCACCAAGGCGACGAUCCAUAGCUGGUUUGAGAAGAUGAUCAGCCACACUGGGACUGAGACACGGCCCAGACUCCUACGGGAGGCAGCAGUGGGGAAUAUUGGACAAUGGGGGGCAACCCUGAUCCAGCAAUGCCGCGUGAGUGAAGAAGGCCUUAGGGUUGUAAAGCUCUUUCAGAUGGGAAGAUAAUGACGGUACCAUCAGAAGAAGCCCCGGCUAACUCCGUGCCAGCAGCCGCGUAAU